Molecule: signal recognition particle RNA, 96 nt
Filed under: Coriobacteriia bacterium
Lineage: Bacteria; Bacillati; Actinomycetota; Coriobacteriia
Description: signal recognition particle sRNA small type
Rfam family: Bacterial small signal recognition particle RNA
About the family: The signal recognition particle (SRP) is a universally conserved ribonucleoprotein involved in the co-translational targeting of proteins to membranes. Archaeal SRP consists of a 7S RNA and homologues of the eukaryotic SRP19 and SRP54 proteins.
Source: RNAcentral
GAUCGGGCUCCGGACGGCGGUAUGCCGUGAACCUGGUCAGGUCCGGGAGGAAGCAGCCAUAAGCGGUCUCUGCCGGGCGUCCGGGGUCCGCUCGGG